Molecule: ribosomal RNA, 506 nt
Filed under: uncultured bacterium
Lineage: Bacteria
Description: partial 16S ribosomal RNA
Rfam family: Bacterial small subunit ribosomal RNA
Source: RNAcentral
AGUGAACGCUGGCGGUAGGCCUAACACAUGCAAGUCGAACGGCAGCACAGGAGAGCUUGCUCUCUGGGUGGCGAGUGGCGGACGGGUGAGGAAUACAUCGGAAUCUACUUUUUCGUGGGGGAUAACGUAGGGAAACUUACGCUAAUACCGCAUACGACCUACGGGUGAAAGCAGGGGACCUUCGGGCCUUGCGCGAUUGAAUGAGCCGAUGUCGGAUUAGCUAGUUGGCGGGGUAAAGGCCCACCAAGGCGACGAUCCGUAGCUGGUCUGAGAGGGUGAUGAGCCACACUGGAACUGAGACGCGGUCCAGACUCCUACGGGAGGCAGCAGUGGGGAAUAUUGGACAAUGGGCGCAAGCCUGAUCCAGCCAUACCGCGUGGGUGAAGAAGGCCUUCGGGUUGUAAAGCCCUUUUGUUGGGAAAGAAAUCCAGCUGGCUAAUACCCGGUUGGGAUGACGGUACCUGCAGAAAAAGCACCGGCUAACUACGUGCCAGCAGCCGCCGUAA